Molecule: ribosomal RNA, 253 nt
Filed under: uncultured bacterium
Lineage: Bacteria
Description: partial 16S ribosomal RNA
Rfam family: Bacterial small subunit ribosomal RNA
Source: RNAcentral
UACAGAGGUCUCGAGCGUUAGGCGGAAUCACUGGGCUUAAAGCGUGCGCAGGCGGUGAUGUAAGACAGUUGUGAAAUCCCCGGGCUCAACCUGGGAACUGCAUCUGUGACUGCAUCGCUGGAGUGCGGCAGAGGGGGAUGGAAUUCCGCGUGUAGCAGUGAAAUGCGUAGAUAUGCGGAGGAACACCGAUGGCGAAGGCAAUCCCCUGGGCCUGCACUGACGCUCAUGCACGAAAGCGUGGGGAGCAAACAGG